UUGUGUUUGUUUACAACUUACUGCAAAUGCUAAUGUGAUUUCUAGCAUCAUUUGUACAUCCAUUCUGACUACAGCUAUGGGUCUUUGUUUGGUAGUCUGAUCUUCAAUGCAGCAAUAGCAAGUUUAUGUUCUCUAAACUUGGAAGAAGAUGAAACAAUUUCCCUUUUCCUGUGUUGCUUUCUGUUUAGAUACUUUCCUAGUGAAUAUUUGUAUAUACAUUUUUCUGCAUUUAAUAUACAAUACCAUGGUGAACUCUCUCUCUUUUUUU
Molecule: long non-coding RNA, 268 nt
Filed under: Salvia miltiorrhiza (redroot sage)
Lineage: Eukaryota; Viridiplantae; Streptophyta; Magnoliopsida; Lamiales; Lamiaceae
Description: long non-coding RNA (SMIL_LNC013887)
Source: RNAcentral